This 497-nucleotide ribosomal RNA is filed under the name uncultured bacterium. RNAcentral describes it as "partial 16S ribosomal RNA". It matches the Rfam family "Bacterial small subunit ribosomal RNA", at positions 28 to 507 of the family's 1533-position model. The record is from RNAcentral.
GAUGAACGCUGGCGGCGUGCCUAAUACAUGCAAGUCGAGCGAACAGACGAGGAGCUUGCUCCUCUGACGUUAGCGGCGGACGGGUGAGUAACACGUGGAUAACCUACCUAUCAGACUGGGAUAACUUCGGGAAACCGGCGCUAAUACCGGAUAAUAUAUUGAACCGCAUGGUUCAAUAGUGAAAGACGGUUUUGCUGUCACUUCUAGAUGGUUCCGCGCCGCAUUAGCUAGUUGGUAAGGUAACGGCUUACCAAGGCGACGAUGCGUAGCCGACCUGAGAGGGGGAUCGGCCACACUGGAACUGAGACACGGUCAAGACGCCUACGGGAGGCAGCAGUAGGGAAUGUGACGCAAUGGGCGAAAGCAUUACGGAGCAAAGCCGCGUGAGUGAUGAAGGUCUUCGGAUCGUAAAACUGUGUUAUUAGUGAAGAACAAAUGUGUAAGUAAAUAUGCACGUCGUGACGGUAACUAAUCAGAAAGCCACGGCUAACUACGUG